GGGGGGUUGGCGCAAUUGGCUAGCAUCCCAGGUUCGCACCCUGUGGUCGUGUGUUGAACUCCCACUCCUCG
Molecule: transfer RNA, 71 nt
Filed under: Tetracentron sinense
Lineage: Eukaryota; Viridiplantae; Streptophyta; Magnoliopsida; Trochodendrales; Trochodendraceae
Description: tRNA-Ala
Source: RNAcentral